Molecule: small RNA, 98 nt
Filed under: Salmonella enterica
Lineage: Bacteria; Pseudomonadati; Pseudomonadota; Gammaproteobacteria; Enterobacterales; Enterobacteriaceae
Description: partial RtT sRNA
Rfam family: RtT RNA
About the family: This family represents a bacterial cis-regulatory element known as RtT RNA. The exact function of RtT is unknown although it is thought that it may be involved in changing the cellular response in relation to amino acid starvation.
Source: RNAcentral
UAUCUCUCCGUACGGGGAAGGAUGAGAAGCUUCGACUAAGGUUCGAUUCGAGCGCAGCGAGAAAACGUUGCCGCAGGCAACGACCCGAAGGGUGAGGA